RNAcentral lists this ribosomal RNA (497 nucleotides) under uncultured bacterium. RNAcentral's name for it is "partial 16S ribosomal RNA". It matches the Rfam family "Bacterial small subunit ribosomal RNA", at positions 28 to 507 of the family's 1533-position model. The record is from RNAcentral.
GAUGAACGCUGGCGGCGUGCCUAAUACAUGCAAGUCGAGCGAACGGACGAGAAGCUUGCUUUUCUGAUGUUAGCGGCGGACGGGUGAGUAACACGUGGAUAACCUACCUAUAAGACUGGGAUAACUUCGGGAAACCGGAGCUAAUACCGGAUAAUAUUUUGAACCGCAUGGUUCAAAAGUGAAAGACGGUCUUGCUGUCACUUAUAGAUGGAUCCGCGCUGCAUUAGCUAGUUGGUAAGGUAACGGCUUACCAAGGCAACGAUGCAUAGCCGACCUGAGAGGGAGAUCGGCCACACUGGAACUGAGACACGGUCCAGACUCCUACGGGAGGCAGCAGUAGGGAAUCUUCCGCAAUGGGCGAAAGCCUGACGGAGCAACGCCGCGUGAGUGAUGAAGGUCUUCGGAUCGUAAAACUCUGUUAUUAGGGAAGAACAUAUGUGUAAGUAACUGUGCACAUCUUGACGGUACCUAAUCAGAAAGCCACGGCUAACUACGUG